Molecule: transfer RNA, 66 nt
Filed under: bovine gut metagenome
Rfam family: tRNA
About the family: Transfer RNA (tRNA) molecules are approximately 80 nucleotides in length. Their secondary structure includes four short double-helical elements and three loops (D, anti-codon, and T loops).
Source: RNAcentral
GGUGUAGCUCAGUUGGUUAGAGUAUCGGAUUGUGGAUCCGUGGGCCGAGGGUUCGAGUCCCUUCUC